Molecule: transfer RNA, 75 nt
Filed under: Beijerinckiaceae bacterium
Lineage: Bacteria; Pseudomonadati; Pseudomonadota; Alphaproteobacteria; Hyphomicrobiales; Beijerinckiaceae
Also listed under: 1 other name
Description: tRNA-Thr
Rfam family: tRNA
About the family: Transfer RNA (tRNA) molecules are approximately 80 nucleotides in length.
Source: RNAcentral
GCCGGUGUAGCUUAAUGGUAGAGCAGCCAAACUGUAAUUGGCAGACGUGGUGUUCGAUUCCCUCCGCCGGCUCCA